CUCAAUAGACGGUAAAAAAAAAAUUUGUACGCGCCGUGAUCUGAAUGCCUUGGUCAAGCACGAUUUAGGGUGCGUUUUUCACAGAGCACACUCUACCCGCGCCUUCAAGUAGUGUCAACUUCGAGCCAGAGAUCGAUCAAUCUUGAUUGCUACAUGAUCAUGCACAUCUUGAUGCAAAGGGUUUGAACUUAUCCAUAUGCUGGACGUGCUAGAAGUGACGGUGUAUGUACAGACAGCAAAAUUCAGAGCACACUCUACCCGCGCCUGCAAGUAGUUCAACUUUGAGCCAGAGAUUGAUCAAUCUUGAUUGCUUCAUAAUCAUGCACAUCUUGAUGAAAAGGGUUUGAACUUGCCCAUAUGCUGGACGUGCUAGAAGUGACGGUAUAUGUACAGACAGCAAAAUCCAGGUAUUAAGCACAAUGUAUCUACAUCUAGCCCUUCCCCACCCCUCCCUUCCCCCUCCAUCAAAACCAAGGAAAGCAUGUAAUAUUUCCAGUCUUAAACUCCCACCAUAUGCAGAAGUGCAUAGCACAGUGUAAAGGAUUAUUCCUUCAAACUAUCUUUGUCUACUGUGCAAUUUGAAUGUCGUGUCAAAUUUACGAAUUAAAAAAAAUAUACCUUACAGUGCAUUUGCAAAAUCUGAUGUAAUAUCAGUUAAAUAAAAGUGCUGUCCUUCAGUAUUUAUAAAUUUGGCUUGUCAAAAAGUACUUUUUGGACUUUGCCAAAUACACCUUUCCAAAAUUAAUGCAGAGAAAAAUUCCUUUGCAUGACUAUGGGGGAAAACUCCCCAGAGAAACAUCCUCAAACUUCUUGUGAUUUUAAUCAAAGCAUGCAUGGUUUUGAUGGAGAGAUUUUGAUGAUAUCAGAACAUUGUUCCGGCAGUUGGUUGAAACAUUUCCUAUGACUUAGAAAGUACAUUAGAAAAAAAACACUGCUGUCAUUAGAGUAGACUGCUCCAUAAAAAUCUGAAGCAAAAUCUGAAACAAUUGUAUCUUGCGCAAACUUAUCUGAACAAUUGUCGGAGGCUUAAAACUUUUUCCAAUUCCAAAUUUGGACUGUUGUCCUGAGAAAUUCUAGAAUUGAAGUUUUGAGAGAUUCCUUCCUUAUAAACAUCGAUACUUUGUGAAAUUCAGCCAACAACAAUGUCCUCGAUCAAAAGGUGACUGUGUUAAAUAUGUCUCCUACAGCAUUGACAGUCAGAUUAUAUAAGAAAAUAACCAAUUUUUCACAGUUAAGAAGAGCUAUCAUCAAGAAAUUUGAGGUGAGUGUCUUAAAAGUCUUUUGACUAAAUGGUGCAUUAAUUGGUGAAAAUGAAGAACUGGUCAAUUUUGCUCAAGCGAAGUGCAAUAUUCAAUUCCUUGUUUUGACAUCGCGUCUCAAACUGCAAAACGUGGUUCUUAACUUUCUUGAGUUAAAGGGAAAAUACAACAUUUGCAAGCAUCACAAAACGAAAUGAUCAAAUUAUCAGGAAAUACCUUACUGGA
Patiria miniata (bat star) is the source of this 1484-nucleotide long non-coding RNA. RefSeq lists it as uncharacterized. The transcript is spliced from 3 exons. NCBI's taxonomy places the organism in Eukaryota, Metazoa, Echinodermata, Asteroidea, Valvatida, Asterinidae. The record is from RefSeq and is a predicted model, not a curated record.